RNAcentral lists this ribosomal RNA (277 nucleotides) under uncultured bacterium. RNAcentral's name for it is "partial 16S ribosomal RNA". It matches the Rfam family "Bacterial small subunit ribosomal RNA", at positions 28 to 323 of the family's 1533-position model. The record is from RNAcentral.
GACGAACGUUGGCGGCGUGCCUAACACAUGCAAGUUGAGCGUGGCUCUAGUUUACUAGAGUCUAGCAGCGGACGGCUGAGUAAUGAACAGGAACGUACCUCGAGGUGGGGGAUAGCUCCGGGAAACCGGAGGUAAUACCGCAUAUUGUCGCAAGACAAAAGCCGCAAGGCGCCACGAGAGCGGCCUGUUUCCUAUCAGGUAGUUGGUGGGGUAAUGGCCUACCAAGCCUCUGACGGGUAGCUGGUCUGAGAGGAUGACCAGCCAGAUCGGGACUGAG